GACGACAAGACCCUAAAAGCUUAAAAUUAAAGAGUAUUUAUUAUAAAAUAAAUUUUUGGCUGGGGUAGCAGAAUUAUUUGAUUUAAUUGUGGCUAAGAUUUAUGUAAAUAUGAAAGAUCCUUUAUAUAAGGAUGGGUAGAGCUAGUUACUUUAGGGAUAACAGCGCAAUUAUUUUGCAGAGUCCUUAUUGAUAAAAUAGAUUGCGACCUCGAUGUUGAAUUAGAGUUUCUUUAUGAAGUAAGUGAUGUACAAGAGGGUUUGUUCAACCUGUAAAUCUCUACAUGAUCUGGUU
Molecule: ribosomal RNA, 292 nt
Filed under: Bactrurus brachycaudus
Lineage: Eukaryota; Metazoa; Arthropoda; Malacostraca; Amphipoda; Crangonyctidae
Description: partial 16S ribosomal RNA
Rfam family: Bacterial large subunit ribosomal RNA (bases 112-292)
Source: RNAcentral